This 556-nucleotide ribosomal RNA is filed under the name uncultured archaeon. RNAcentral describes it as "bacterial SSU rRNA". It matches the Rfam family "Archaeal small subunit ribosomal RNA", at positions 326 to 882 of the family's 1478-position model. The record is from RNAcentral.
CGGGGUGCAGCAGGCGCGAAAACUUUACAAUGCGGGAAACCGUGAUAAGGGGACACCGAGUGCCAGCAUCAUAUGCUGGCUGUCCAGGUGUGUAAAAUACACCUGUCAGCAAGGGCCGGGCAAGACCGGUGCCAGCCGCCGCGGUAACACCGGCGGCCCGAGUGGUGAUCGUGAUUAUUGGGUCUAAAGGGUCCGUAGCCGGUUUGGUCAGUCCUCCGGGAAAUCUGACGGCUCAACCGUUAGGCUUUCGGGGGAUACUGCCAGGCUUGGAACCGGGAGAGGUAAGAGGUACUACAGGGGUAGGAGUGAAAUCUUGUAAUCCCUGUGAGACCACCUGUGGCGAAGGCGUCUUACCAGAACGGGUUCGACGGUGAGGGACGAAAGCUGGGGGCACGAACCGGAUUAGAUACCCGGGUAGUCCCAGCCGUAAACGAUGCUCGCUAGGUGUCAGGCAUGGCGCGACCGUGUCUGGUGCCGCAGGGAAGCCGUGAAGCGAGCCACCUGGGAAGUACGGCCGCAAGGCUGAAACUUAAAGGAAUUGGCGGGGGAGCACAAG